This 253-nucleotide ribosomal RNA is filed under the name uncultured bacterium. Its description in RNAcentral is "partial 16S ribosomal RNA". It matches the Rfam family "Bacterial small subunit ribosomal RNA", at positions 524 to 776 of the family's 1533-position model. The record is from RNAcentral.
UACGUAGGUGGCAAGCGUUGUCCGGAUUUAUUGGGUUUAAAGGGUGCGUAGGCGGCCCUGUAAGUCAGUGCUGAAAUAUCCCGGCUUAACCGGGAGGGUGGCAUUGAUACUGCGGGGCUAGAGUACAGAUGAGGUAGGCGGAAUUGACGGUGUAGCGGUGAAAUGCGUAGAGAUCAGGAAGAACACCGGUGGCGAAAGCGUUCUGCUAGACCUGUACUGACACUGAGGGACGAAAGCUAGGGGAGCGAAUGGG